CCCUAGUAACGGCGAGUGAAGCGGCAACAGCUCAAAUUUGAAAUCUGGCCUCACGGUCCGAAUUGUAAUUUGUAGAGGAUGUUUCUGGCGACGUGUCUUCCGAGUUCCCUGGAACGGGACGCCAUAGAGGGUGAGAGCCCCGUCCGGUCGUACACCUAGCCUCUGUGAAACUCCUUCGACGAGUCGAGUAGUUUGGGAAUGCUGCUCUAAAUGGGAGGUAUACGUCUUCUAAAGCUAAAUACCGGCCAGAGACCGAUAGCGCACAAGUAGAGUGAUCGAAAGAUGAAAAGCACUUUGAAAAGAGGGUUAAAUAGUACGUGAAAUUGCUGAAAGGGAAGCGCUUAUGACCAGACUUGGGCUCGGUGAAUCAUCCGGCGUUCUCGCCGGUGCACUUUGCCGUCCCAGGCCAGCAUCAGUUCGCGCCGGGGGAUAAAGGUUUCGGGAAUGUAGCUCCCUCGGGAGUGUUAUAGCCCGUUGCGUAAUACCCUGGCGUGGACUGAGGUCCGCGCUCUGCAAGGAUGCUGGCGUAAUGGUCAUCAGUGACCCGUCUUGAAACAC
RNAcentral lists this ribosomal RNA (558 nucleotides) under Hypocreales sp. 151. Its description in RNAcentral is "eukaryotic LSU rRNA". It matches the Rfam family "Eukaryotic large subunit ribosomal RNA", at positions 78 to 662 of the family's 3401-position model. Lineage: Eukaryota; Fungi; Ascomycota; Sordariomycetes; Hypocreales. The record is from RNAcentral.